GGUGAAAAGCACCCCGGAAGGGGAGUGAAAUAGAACCUGAAACCGUGUGCUUACAAGUAGUCAGAGCCCGUUAAUGGGUGAUGGCGUGCCUUUUGUAGAAUGAACCGGCGAGUUACGAUUUGAUGCAAGGUUAAGCAGUAAAUGUGGAGCCGUAGCGAAAGCGAGUCUGAAUAGGGCGUUUAGUAUUUGGUCGUAGACCCGAAACCAGGUGAUCUACCCUUGGUCAGGUUGAAGUUCAGGUAACACUGAAUGGAGGACCGAACCGACUUACGUUGAAAAGUGAGCGGAUGAACUGAGGGUAGCGGAGAAAUUCCAAUCGAACCUGGAGAUAGCUGGUUCUCUCCGAAAUAGCUUUAGGGCUAGCCUCAAGUGAUGAUUAUUGGAGGUAGAGCACUGUUUGGACGAGGGGCCCCUCUCGGGUUACCGAAUUCAGACAAACUCCGAAUGCCAAUUAAUUUAACUUGGGAGUCAGAACAUGGGUGAUAAGGUCCGUGUUCGAAAGGGAAACAGCCCAGACCACCAGCUAAGGUCCCAAAAUAUAUGUUAAGUGGAAAAGGAUGUGGCGUUGCCCAGACAACUAGGAUGUUGGCUUAGAAGCAGCCAUCAUUUAAAGAGUGCGUAAUAGCUCACUAGUCGAGUGACACUGCGCCGAAAAUGUACCGGGGCUAAACAUAUUACCGAAGCUGUGGAUUGUCCUUUGGACAAUGGUAGGAGAGCGUUCUAAGGGCGUUGAAGCAUGAUCGUAAGGACAUGUGGAGCGCUUAGAAGUGAGAAUGCCGGUGUGAGUAGCGAAAGACGGGUGAGAAUCCCGUCCACCGAUUGACUAAGGUUUCCAGAGGAAGGCUCGUCCGCUCUGGGUUAGUCGGGUCCUAAGCUGAGGCCGACAGGCGUAGGCGAUGGAUAACAGGUUGAUAUUCCUGUACCACCUAUAAUCGUUUUAAUCGAUGGGGGGACGCAGUAGGAUAGGCGAAGCGUGCGAUUGGAUUGCACGUCUAAGCAGUAAGGCUGAGUAUUAGGCAAAUCCGGUACUCAUUAAGGCUGAGCUGUGAUGGGGAGAAGACAUUGUGUCUUCGAGUCGUUGAUUUCACACUGCCGAGAAAAGCCUCUAGAUAGAAAAUAGGUGCCCGUACCGCAAACCGACACAGGUAGUCAAGAUGAGAAUUCUAAGGUGAGCGAGCGAACUCUCGUUAAGGAACUCGGCAAAAUGACCCCGUAACUUCGGGAGAAGGGGUGCUCUUUAGGGUUAACGCCCAGAAGAGCCGCAGUGAAUAGGCCCAAGCGACUGUUUAUCAAAAACACAGGUCUCUGCUAAACCGUAAGGUGAUGUAUAGGGGCUGACGCCUGCCCGGUGCUGGAAGGUUAAGAGGAGUGGUUAGCUUCUGCGAAGCUACGAAUCGAAGCCCCAGUAAACGGCGGCCGUAACUAUAACGGUCCUAAGGUAGCGAAAUUCCUUGUCGGGUAAGUUCCGACCCGCACGAAAGGCGUAACGAUUUGGGCACUGUCUCAACGAGAGACUCGGUGAAAUCAUAGUACCUGUGAAGAUGCAGGUUACCCGCGACAGGACGGAAAGACCCCGUGGAGCUUUACUGUAGCCUGAUAUUGAAAUUCGGCACAGCUUGUACAGGAUAGGUAGGAGCCUUUGAAACGUGAGCGCUAGCUUACGUGGAGGCGCUGGUGGGAUACUACCCUAGCUGUGUUGGCUUUCUAACCCGCACCACUUAUCGUGGUGGGAGACAGUGUCAGGCGGGCAGUUUGACUGGGGCGGUCGCCUCCUAAAAGGUAACGGAGGCGCUCAAAGGUUCCCUCAGAAUGGUUGGAAAUCAUUCAUAGAGUGUAAAGGCAUAAGGGAGCUUGACUGCGAGACCUACAAGUCGAGCAGGGUCGAAAGACGGACUUAGUGAUCCGGUGGUUCCGCAUGGAAGGGCCAUCGCUCAACGGAUAAAAGCUACCCCGGGGAUAACAGGCUUAUCUCCCCCAAGAGUUCACAUCGACGGGGAGGUUUGGCACCUCGAUGUCGGCUCAUCGCAUCCUGGGGCUGUAGUCGGUCCCAAGGGUUGGGCUGUUCGCCCAUUAAAGCGGUACGCGAGCUGGGUUCAGAACGUCGUGAGACAGUUCGGUCCCUAUCCGUCGUGGGCGUAGGAAAUUUGAGAGGAGCUGUCCUUAGUACGAGAGGACCGGGAUGGACAUACCUCUGGUGUACCAGUUGUCGUGCCAACGGCAUAGCUGGGUAGCUAUGUGUGGACGGGAUAAGUGCUGAAAGCAUCUAAGCAUGAAGCCCCCCUCAAGAUGAGAUUUCCCAACUUCGGUUAUAAGAUCCCUCAAAGAUGAUGAGGUUAAUAGGUUCGAGGUGGAAGCAUGGUGACAUGUGGAGCUGACGAAUACUAA
This 2385-nucleotide ribosomal RNA is filed under the name Staphylococcus aureus. RNAcentral describes it as "partial 23S ribosomal RNA". It matches the Rfam family "Bacterial large subunit ribosomal RNA", at positions 513 to 2904 of the family's 2925-position model. The record is from RNAcentral. Lineage: Bacteria; Bacillati; Bacillota; Bacilli; Caryophanales; Staphylococcaceae.